ACGCUCGACACCUACAGGAGGCAGCAGUGGGGAAUAUUGCACAAUGGGGGAAACCCUGAUGCAGCGACGCCGCGUGAAGGAUGAAGUAUUUCGGUAUGUAAACUUCUAUCAGCAGGGAAGAAAGUGACGGUACCUGACUAAGAAGCCCCGGCUAACUACGUGCCANCAGCCGCGGUAAUCUGAGCGGGCUGGCAAGGC
This 198-nucleotide ribosomal RNA is filed under the name uncultured bacterium. Its description in RNAcentral is "partial 16S ribosomal RNA". It matches the Rfam family "Bacterial small subunit ribosomal RNA", at positions 328 to 539 of the family's 1533-position model. The record is from RNAcentral.